This 3639-nucleotide long non-coding RNA is filed under the name Canis lupus familiaris (dog). Its description in RNAcentral is "lncRNA (ENSCAFG00845004685.1)". Lineage: Eukaryota; Metazoa; Chordata; Mammalia; Carnivora; Canidae. The record is from RNAcentral.
UUUCUUUUCUUUUCUUUUUUUUUUUUUUUUCCCCUUGGAUUUAUUUUCGUUCACGAAAUUUAUCUUGAGAUUUCAGUCAUCGUCCAGGGACAAUACCACAACUGGGCGUUUGUCAAGAGAGGCUGACGACCACCGCGUGGGACGGGGUCUCACACGCGAUCAGCGUGAGGAGACGGCCCGUCGGCGGCCACAGACGCCGGGUUUCCGUGGGCAGAUUCGCCUGGGCUGAACCGGCUGCUCCGCCGCCAGAUGGACGUCGUCGCCCCGACCGACCGACCGGAGAGCGUCUGAGGAUCCCGGGCCCGCGUGCUGCGGAAGUUCCCGCGCACUCCCCAGGCGCCGGCGGCUCGCGUUCGCCCUGAAUUCCAUGGGAAGGCUGAAGUGCAUAUGCUCCAGUUUUCCAGCCUGAUGAAGCAGCCCGGGCCUAUUUUUAAGCCAUGACCUUUGAAAUCGACUGUUUUUGUCUCCUCGAGGUGACUUCAGAUAUCAUAUAGUCUUAAACCUCUAUGAGAAUUUAAAUAUCUGGUCAUCUGAGAAUACCUGAAACAUCUUUGGAAUAAUUCCUCUGUUCCUGUUUUAGAGCACUGCAUUGAUAAUGAUUCAGAGUUCUCCCGAAUCAUCGUAUCCCUCAUUGAACAGUUCACUAUUGAAGAGGUUUCUGCUUUGGUAUUUAUUAACGUCUUCUAGCAGUUCAAAGAGCUUUACAGACAUCGUCACACCCUUCUCAGAACUACCAAAUAACAGCAAGUUGUACUUUUAUUGUCAAAUAUGGGGAUGAAAACACAGGUUACGUUGUUGGAUAAUUGCAGAGAAUGAGGCAUCAAGGAAGCCAAGAGUGGAUCAGGAAGGAGGUCAAUAGGGUGGAAAUCUGCUGAGCCAUUCUAGAAGGCAAGAACUGCAAACCACUCUCCUGACUGAGUAACAGGAUGCUGAGGGUAAAACAGGAAUAAAGCAGUCACUGCACACAAGGAUCUGCCUAAAACAGAGAGAUACGAUAAUUAGAGACUAAUCACAAACUACAAUAUGUACGAGGCCAGAAAGUAUCACAGGGAUGCAAUAUCAUGUAAAUGUGGAUUUGUUGGUAGUACUUAUUGUAGCACAUUUGUAAGACUUCAGUGAGAAAUAUAGAUUCCAAAAGAAGGCAGAUGGGCGCUUCACCAGAUAAAAUCAAGGCUGGAUGAAGAGUUAGAAAAAAAAGACUCAAUCUUGGGGAUUUUUCUUUUUAUAACCACUUAAAGCAGUUAAAACUGUAAGAUUAAUCAUCUUUGUUUAUGAAAAAUCACUUGAAGAAUAUGUGUUUUCUCAAUUAAUCUUUCAUACUGUAAAAGCAGUGUGUGCCAUUGUAACAAAUGACAUAAUCCAAAAAAAGCAUAUGGACAGAAAGUUUCUUCCUACACUUCCCAAUUUCUACUCCACUUACUCCACUUACAGUAACCAGUUUAACUGCCUGAGUUGUGUAUCACUCUAACUUUAUACUUAUAAAAACAUAGCUAGUUUGCUUUUUUGGUGUACUUUUUUAACAUGAAUUCUAACAUAUUACCAGACCAUUGCUUUAUUCACUUUACAGUGUAUUAUCUGGCCAGGUCAAUAGGCAGAGACCUAACUCAGUCUUUUAACAGCUAACUCCGUAGAAUAGAUGACCCUACUAUAGAACCACUUGUUCCAUUAUUGAUCAACAUGUAAAUUGAUCUAGGCUUUUAUCACAACCAAUAGCACAGCAAUAAACAUCCUUAUGUGCAUAUCUUUAUCAUAUAAUACUUUUAUAUCCACAAGGAGAUUUCCAGUGGUGGGACCACUGAAUCGCAGAUACUUCCUAUUUCAAUAUAUAUUGCAUACUUUUUAUCCAAAGGGUUGUAACAAUUCACUCCUCCAUCAAACACAUACUGAGGAUGUCUGUCUCCCAUGUUGUCAUCAGGUACUAGGUCCCACUCCAUGUCAGCAGCUGAAGGAGGGGCAUAUUUAAGUAUCCUCAGACUGUUUGGAUCAACAGUUUGGUUUCCAUAUUGAAUCUAUCCUUACUUAUUGAACUAUCUUCUUUCCAUGCUCAUUUCACUUCUCUGGAUUGCAAAGGUGAGGGCACCUGUAGGCAACCAGAUUCUUGGCAGUUCUUGAUGUGUUUUCUCCCACAAAUACAGUUCUUAAAGGCAACCAAACUCGUAGAAAGAUGCCUGUGAACCUAAAAUCCACAUUUGACACCUUGCCUGACUUCUCAUAGUCUGUGAACACACGGACUUCUUCGAAUACCCCUAAUGAAACCUAGAGUAGACGAGGGGUGAACAACACAGAUCUGGACAUCAGACAGACUGGAAUUCAGACUCCAUCACUUUUUGUCCUGUUGUGCAAUUAAACACUAUGGCCCUGUCUAUAAAAUGGCAACAACACAUCCUGUAUUUCAUAUUGCCUAUGCCUACUUUAAAUGGUAAAAUCUGCAUAAGUGCCUGGCAUAGUGCUUGGCAUUUAAUGAUUGUUACGUGACUGUUCACAAAAUUUGAUAUCUCCUUUGAAAUAUAAACCAUACAUACGUAAAUUAUUAGACAAACCCACUGCCAAAUGUUGUUUUCUUAAUGAGAAGAAACUUUUAUUAACUGGAAAUAAUUUUCCAGGAUAUCCUGAAGAUAAUGAGGAUUCUUUUUUUUUGCUUUCCUUUAUUCCAGUUGCUGGUUGAUGGCUUGUUUGGGGCCAAGUCCUGUGGUGUAGGCUAGGGCAGACACAAAGAAGGCUAAUCCUUAAUUUCAAUCCAGAAGAAGUUGAUGAUUUUACAGUACGUCAGCAAGUAUAAUCUAAUGUGUGAUGGUGUGGUGUACUUUAAAAGAAGAAACUGAAAGGAAUUAUGGAAGAAUUCUAAUAGGAGUGAUCAAGUCCCAGAGAGUUAGGAAAUGUUUUGCAGAUAUCUGACCAUUUCAAGAUUGUUGCAUUUUUUAUGUCUAGGUACAUAUAAAUACACACACACACACACACACACACACACACACACCCUUUCUAAGAUUUUCUGUGAGAACUUUUAUUAUUUUUCUUUUGGAAAAAAUAUUUAUUUGAGGGAGAGAGAAAGAGAGAGUAUGAGUUGGGGGAAGGGCAGAGGGAGAAGCAGACUGAGCAGGGAUUCCCAAUGGGAUGUGCAGGGCUCCAUCCCAGGACCCUGAGAUCAUGACCUGAACCGAAGGCAGACGUGCUACCAGGUGGCCCAAUAUUUAUUUUUUUCCGAAGGGUGUUUUUUUGCUCAUUUUGGGGUAAAUACAUACAACGGAAUAUUAUUCAGCCUUCAAAAGGAAAUUCUGAUGCAGGCUACAAUACUACUGAAUCUUGAAGGCAUUAUGCUAAGUGCAAUAAGCCCAACACAAAAGAACAAAUACAGUGUGAUUCCACUUCUGUGACACACCAUUAAGUGGUGAAACUCAUAGAGACAGAAAGUAAAAGUGGUGGCCAGGGGCUGGGGGAGUAGGAAUGGGGAGUUAAUGUUCCAUGGUUACAGAAUUUCUGUUUGGAAAGAUAAAAAAAAAAUUCUGUAGAUGGAUGGUGGUGAUACUGCAAAACAGUAUGUGCUUAAUACCACUGAACUUUACACUUAAAAAUGGUUCAAAUGCAAAUUUUAUGUGAGGUAUAUUGUACCCAAUAAAAUAAAAGAAUAAAAAUUUUUGUUUU